This is a non-coding RNA of Odocoileus virginianus texanus, 4639 nucleotides long. NCBI's taxonomy places the organism in Eukaryota, Metazoa, Chordata, Mammalia, Artiodactyla, Cervidae. The record is from RefSeq and is a predicted model, not a curated record.
AUAAUCCUGCCCUCCUAGAGGGGGAAGAUGGGGUGGAAUUGAAACUUUCCAACUCUCCUGGCAACCAGUUUCCCUCCUCAGGUGGCCUAGGAGUUUUCCAAAAGUCACCUUUUUUUCUGCCUUUGUUUUCUUAUAUUUAUUUAUUUUUGGUGGUGCCACACAGCGUGUGGGAUCUUAGUUCCCUGACUGAGGACUGAACCCUCACCUGCAUUGGAGCCACUGAACUACCAGGGAAGUCCCUAGAAGUCACCUUUUAAAAAACAUAACAAAAGACACCUGCAUGGCUUUCGUGACUAAGGAAAUUCAUCACUUAGGGUUUUAAGGAGCUCUGUGCCAGAAACUGGGAUGAAGCUCAAACACGUAUUUCUUAAUAUAAAGCACACUAUCACACUCUCCUAGCUGAACCACUGCAAGAAAGCCUUUGUUUUUUUUUUUUCUUUUUUUAAGCUUGAAGAAUAUUUGUUUAUUUUGCCUAUGCUGGGUCUUAGUUGCUACAGGCCGGCUUUCUCUAGUGGCGGUGAGCGGGGGCUGCUCAUUGUGGUGGCUUCUCAUGUGGACCACGGACUCUAGGGCUCUCCAGGCAAGUCUUUUCUCUUGACAGUUGUCCCUCUUCUUCACUUACUCUGAUCUUGUUGGAGCUCUGAAAUCUGCCCAAUUCAAGUCACUUGCCAGGAGUUCAAACCCUCCCCAUGCCUCCAAGAGAGUGUUCAGGCAAUGUCAGGUGGUUUUUGCUUCAUUUCCCUGGGUCACCAAACUUUCUGACACCGAUGACCAUUUUACUCUAUCCCACUAGUCGAAGCAAUUAACCAAAGGAAAUCAUCAUAGAUUAUAAAAACAUGUACAGAAAUGUUUCUUGAAGCAUUAUGUAAAAUAUCAAGCACAUUGCAAGAAUCCCUAUAGUAUUCGGUUGAGUAAAUGACGGUUUACCCAUAGAGUGUAAUCUCAGAGAGUUAUUAACAUAAUGUUGUAGCAAGAUAGUUAAUGAUACAAAGCAUAAUCAGAAUAUGGCAGGAGGAAUACAUGAGAUAAUGGGAGUAUUUAUUUUGUGGUUUUGAGAAGUCCAAAAUUUGGGGCUCCUUCUCUCUUAAAAUGGUUCUAGCUGAGUAUAAGCUAAAAUCGUAACUUGCCUGUCAUGAGUAGGCUAGAACAGAAGUGGCAGUAUAUGCCCCCAAGGACUAGUCAUAAAAAGCAUCAUGGCUUUUUCCUUCUUCUCUCUCAGAUCACUCUCUCCAGGGAGGCCAGCUGCCCUGACAUGAGGAUAUUCAAGCAAUCCUUUGGACAAGUGCUGGCAGCAAAUGACCAAGUCCUCCUGCCAGGAGCCAGCAAGCAAUGGAGGCUUCUUCAGUAGGCCUGUGAUGAACCAUCUGGGCAUAGAGCCUCCAGCCCCAGUCAGUCAGCUGACUACAGUCCAGUGACCACUUGACCACAACCCAUGAGACACUGAGCCAGAACCAUCCAGUUAAGCCAUUCCCAAUUCCCAAUCCACAAAAGCAAUCAGAUUAUGAAUGCUUGUAUUUUUAAGCUUCAACAUUCUCAGGAGAUGUCUAGGCAGCAAUAGCUAACUAUUACAGUGACCCUGAAGCAAUGAGGACCAUCAGGUCACCCAGUUUCACUCUUUCCCUCUCAUCUCUGUCCCUCCCUUCUGUCCAUUCAUCUGUGCCUAAAACAAUCCUUAGGCACUUCCCUAAAGGUGCAGCGGAUAAGCAUUCUGCCAUUGCAGGGGACACGGGUUUGAUCUAUGGUCUGGGAAGAUUCCACAUACCUCGCGGCAACUAAGCCUACACUCGCAAUUACUAAGCCUGUGCUCUGGAGCCCACAGGCAGCAACUGCCAAGCCAGUGUGCUGCAACUUCUGAAGCCCGUGUACCUAGAGCCUGUGCUCUGCAACAAGAGAAGCCACCGCUCAUGCAUCACAGUGAAGAGUGGCCGCUGCUCAUCACAGCUAGAGGACGCCCCUGCAAAGCAACCAAGACCCAGUGCAGCCAAGAAUAAAGAAAGGAAAUUUAAAAUUUUUUAAAUGUACUAAUGUGCUGAGAGUGCUAUAUCUAGAUGAUGGAAAAACAGUGAGGUUUCUAUAUAUAUGUAUCAUUUUCAUCUUCUGCACCAAAUAUGUCUAACAAAACAUAAUAUUAUUUUAAACUAUGCAAUGUUUGACCCUGUUUAUAAGAGAGGCCUUUUUAAUAUGAUAAAAUUUACUUAAGUGUAAUUAUUUCUCCCAACAAACCAAAUGCUUGUAAGCAGGCAUUACCUUGAACAGUGCUAAUUUUUUUAGACAUGUACCAAUCUUUUUUUUUUAUUUCGCUUAUUUAUUUUUGGCUGCACUGGAUCUUAUUGCUAUGCUCAGGCUUUUUCGAGACACAGUGCAGGGGUUUCUGAUUGAUGUGGAUUCUCUUGUUUUGGAGCAUGGGCUGCAGGGCAUGUGGGCUUCAGUAGUUGUGGCACACCAGCCUAGUUGCCCCAUGGCAUGUGGGAUAUCCCUGGACCAAGGAUGCAACCUGUGUCCCCUGCAUUGGCAGGUGGAUGGUUAAGCACAGGCCCAACAUUGAAGUCCUGAAAGAAAAUUUUUUUUUGAAAGGGGAAUUCCAGCCAGUUUCUACAUUUACAGUAGUCACAGUGAUUCAGCAGUAACAAUGAAUUUAUUCAAUGGUCCCAUACACUGAGCAUCCAAUGUACAUGACUUUAAUCCUCAUUUGUUGUUGUUCAGUCACUCAAUUGUGUCCGACUCUGUGACCCCAUGCCCCGCAGCAUGCCAGGCUUCCCUGUCCUUCACUAUCUCCCAGAGUCUGCUCAAACUCAGUUCCACUGAGUCGGUGAUGCCAACCAACCAUCUCAUCCUCUGUCAUUCCCUUCUCCUUCUGCCCUCAAUCUUUCCCAGCAUCAGGGUCUUUUCCAAUGAAUCAGUUCUUCCCAUCAGUUGGCCAAAAUCCUUGUUGUCCCGAGAAGACUCUCGUGAGUCUUCUCCAGCACCUCAAAUGAUCUAGAAAAAUAAUCAGUAUGAAAUUAUUGCCAUUUUAACCAUCUCCUGAACAUGCCUUGCUUUAAUUUAGAAAACUAAUUUCCAGAUUUCCUGCUUUUGCUUAGAAGAAGGUAAGAGUUCCAUAAGCAUCCAUCUUGAGGAGGCUGACUAAGAAAUGCAUCCUGGCCCAGGUCUCUAGCUUGGAACUGGGGUUUGUGCCGUAGGGUGAGAAGGUGGAGCUCUGCAGAGCCUUUGUGUAAUUGUGGCUUUAUAGGGUAGUCACGGGACUAGAGCAAGCUUGACUUUCGGCCAGAGCACCUCAUGUUAUUUUCAACUAUUAUAAAAGGAAAUGAAAGAGAAUAAGAUGUCGUGUUCUGGUGCUAUACUCUGUUUUUUAAAAGCAGGAUGGUUAUUCAGUGUUUUUGGGCACAGCAAAAUGGGUUUUUUUUUUUUAUUUUUAUUUUUUCCUCCUCCUAUUUAUAGCCAGCUCAAAUUCUUGAGAAAUUUACCCCUUUCGGAGGUAAGGGGCCGAAGUUGAGGUUAAUUGGUGUUAAAUCCAGGAGAAUUGGAGGAAGCCAGGAAGAUGGAAGAAGAAGUGGAUGGGGCUGCUAGUCAUUAAAAUCGGCACCCUUCUCCUGCAUCACACCCCUCUGAAGUGUAACCCGUGGCACUUUGUCUUCAGUGAGUCCCUCCCGCUAGCCCCGUGAGGCCGGGAGAGUGACAGCUUUGCCCACUGAGCACAGGACUGGUUGGCCCAGGUAACACAGGACACUGUGUUAAGAAAUUGGGCCUGCAGCCCAGCACACAGGGCACCAGACCCGUCCGUUCUGCGUGUUCUGGCAAAGGUGGCUGAGGAUCACAGUCCAACAAAUACAAAGCUGCUUCUGAUUCCACUCACUCCUGAGUGCAUUUUGUCUCAGAUUGCACAAUAAACAUUCUUUUCUUUAAAAAAUUGUUUUGCAUCGUCCCUUCUGAACUAUGUUAGUGAUAUCGUAUCUGACAUAGCAAUAGAGUUUGGUUUUUUGUUUUUAUUUUCACUCAAGCAGGGUUGUGUCUUCAAAGAAGACAGCAGAAUGACCUGAGAAGUGUCACUCUUUUGGAGGCCAACGCUAAGGUGAAGGAUAUUGCAAUAUCCAGGGAGAGGAUAACUCUAAAAGGAAGGGAAAGGUGGAAAUCCUGGGAAGUGGUUUGAAUCAGGAAGAUUCCAGACUCCCAUGAGAUCGUAGCAUGAUGGAGGACAGAGACAGCUGUCAAAGCCAGAGACCUUUUGCUGUGAUUCAGCAGGGAGAGCAUGAGGUGUGCCCAAGGGGACAGAAAAGACAAACCGGAGGAAGAGUAGUCAAGUGCUGAGACAAGAGUAAAACCCGAGUCUGAGGAGUCAAGAAAAACAGGGAAAGAUGACUCAGGACCCAGGAGAGGGAUGAGUGAAAAGUCACUCCAUGCUUUUGUGGAAAUCUGUUCCAAAAACUUGAGUUUUGUAUUUUCUGUUUGUCCAACGCAAACUCUGGGGAGAUGUCAAAAAACCUUUAAAAGUUUAUGUAUUUAAUGAAAUUCCAUAGAGGGAAUGUUUAACAUCCAGGCAGAGAGACUGUGUGCACCCUGCUUAUCUUUCCUACUGGGGACAAAUUUCCGGCCUUUAAUCCUAUUAUUUUCAAUUAAUAAAAUGGACAUGACAUUUUUCAGA